GGCCAGAGAACUGCUCCCCAGUCGACCGGCAGGGGCCCUGCAGCGGCUGCUGCGCGGCGCAGGGGGUGGUGUACUUUAAUCAGCAUUUAAUGACCCAGUCGAAAAUUCAUUGUUUGGACCCAAGCACUGGUGGGAAAGGCAGGAGGGGAGGCCUGCCUUCCUUCCUCCCUCCCGAGCCCUACAGCAGGCCAUGGAGUGGUGAGCGAGUUCGUACAGUGCCAACCACAUUCCCAGAAACUUCCAGCAGAGGUUAAUCCUGCUCCUCUCAGGAAAAAGUGAUUCAGCUCCGGUCCACCCUGGGUGCAGCGGUCCUUCUGCCAAGAUGCCUUCAUAUCAUACAGCUAUUAUUUUCGGGAGGAUUCCAAGUGAGGGCAGUCAGGGUGGGCUUGGCCCAUUCUCUAGACUUUGGAAGGUAAUGUUCUAUAGAGGCCUGUUCUGAAGCUUUACCAGGUCAAACCGGAGAAGAACCCAACAAGUAACUCAUCCCAGCCUAACUAUUCUUCAAGGGCAAUCAACCUACAGCAUCCAAGCACAGAGAAAUCAAAUCCAUGGAGAAUCUUCAAAUUAGGCUCAGAAUCCAUUUGGGUCAAUGAAUUUACUGUUAUUAAGAUCUUAGUUGUGUUCAACCAUGAUUUGACAUACCUUAGAGUGAGAAGAUAUUCUUCCUGGCCUCAGACUAGUUGAAGGUAGAGAGAGAGACAGGCCCUUGGGUGUGGGGAGACCUCUCCUGGGAUAAUACACACAAAAAACCAAGAGCUGCUCACUGUGGUGCAGGAGACAGCAGGGCCUGAAGCCAGAGGCUCUGUGUCCUUGAAUACAAUGUUUUACUCCUCUGACCCCUGUUACUGUGAUUUGGAGAGGCAGACAAUAUAGGAUGGGCUUUGCAGGCAGGGAGGUCCAGUUAUAAUCCCAGCUCUUACUAAGUUGGGUAAGACUCACUCUGAGACUUAGUUUCUUCUGUCAUCUCUCAAUAGAAUCAUAAAGGUACUUUCCUCUUAGUGUUGUUUUAAAAUUCAGUAAAAUAAUGCAGGCUUAGCACAGGGUCUGAUGUAAAUUUUCAAUGAAUUAUCGUUGUCAAUAUUGUUCUGGAAAACAAGAGGGCAUAUUAGAAGAUCAAAAGUACUGCCAAGCAUUGAAGUGCCAAUUCUAGAUCCAGUCUCAGCCCUCUGAGAAUGGAUAUCAUUGUUUUCAAGCCAUUCAGAAACCAAUGUGAAUUGAACACCUAGUAUGAGCUCUCUGAGGGAAGAGCCAAGUCAUGCAUUUUUUAUCUUAAGGGGUCUUCAAUACCUCUAGCCCAAAACAGUAUCUCCAUCAGGAUUCUUCUCUGAUAGUGUUCAUUUCUUUUUUCUCAAUGGAUGCCUUAAAAAAAAAAUCCUACAAGGAAACCUGUACUCCUCAAAUACACCACUCAGGUGACCAUUAAAUCAUUUACAUUGUUAA
Molecule: long non-coding RNA, 1440 nt
Organism: Homo sapiens (human)
Lineage: Eukaryota; Metazoa; Chordata; Mammalia; Primates; Hominidae
Gene: ZNF503-AS1
Product: ZNF503 antisense RNA 1
Source: Ensembl